Molecule: ribosomal RNA, 468 nt
Filed under: uncultured bacterium
Lineage: Bacteria
Description: partial 16S ribosomal RNA
Rfam family: Bacterial small subunit ribosomal RNA
Source: RNAcentral
GACGAACGCUGGCGGCGUGCUUAACACAUGCAAGUCGAACGGAAAGGCCCUGCUUUUGUGGGGUGCUCGAGUGGCGAACGGGUGAGUAACACGUGAGUAACCUGCCCUUGACUUUGGGAUAACUUCAGGAAACUGGGGCUAAUACCGGAUAGGAGCUCCUGCUGCAUGGUGGGGGUUGGAAAGUUUCGGCGGUUGGGGAUGGACUCGCGGCUUAUCAGCUUGUUGGUGGGGUAGUGGCUUACCAAGGCUUUGACGGGUAGCCGGCCUGAGAGGGUGACCGGCCACAUUGGGACUGAGAUACGGCCCAGACUCCUACGGGAGGCAGCGGAGGGGAAUAUUACACAAUGGGCGGAAGCCUGAUGCAGCAACGCCGCGUGCGGGAUGACGGCCUUCGGGUUGUAAACCGCUGUCGCCUGUGACGAAGCGUGAGUGACGGUAAUGGGUAAAGAAGCACCGGCUAACUACGUG